CUCACGUGCGUCACAUAUGUCGAAAUAAACUCGCUUUGUUCAUUUUGUAAACUUCCAUUCAUUUAUAUACGGAGUUUAUAACCGUGUCCGUCGUUUAGUACAAGAUUUCUGUUGAAUUUAGAUCGUACAAUGUAUUGGAAGUUUCAUGCUGCGCCUUCAGCAAGAGUAGCUGAGCUCCUAAAUAAAGAGGAUGUCACAUUAGAAGAAUUGUUGGAUGAAGAGGAUAUCAUACAAGAAUGCAAAGCUCAAAAUAGCAAUGUGAUAGACUUUCUGGUGCAGCCCGAGGUGAUGAUGGCGCUCGUGUCUCACAUGGUGACCGAGCCGGACCCGACCGGCGACGUGGCCUCCCAGUACCGCUACGCCAACAUGGCCUCGGAGAUCGUCACGUGCAACGUGCCGGCCAUUAUCGACCAGCUGGCUGGCGAGCGGCCGCUGCUGCGGCGGCUCUACAGCCUGCUGGAGUGUGAGCCGCCGCUGAACCCGCUGCUGGCCAGCUACUUCAGCCGCACGCUGGCGCUGCUCAUCGUACGGCGGCCCGGCCAGAGCUGGUACUCGUAUCAAUUCAACUGCCUCCAGGUGUUAGAAUUUCUCAAGUCGAUGGACACGUUCAUUGACCUGGUGCUGCGCCACCUGGGCACGUCUGCAAUCAUGGACCUCACGUGCAAUCUCAUCUCGGGCAUCGAGGCGCCAGAGUAUCGCCAGAAUGCGCUCAAUUGGCUCAACGACCAGCGGCUGGUGCAGCGGCUGGCCGAGCUGAUGGCCGAUGGAGAGCACCCCGACCGGCAGGCCAACGCCGGACAGGUCAUCAUGUCGGUGGUGAGCUGCGCGCGCCAGAUGGCCCAGCAGCUCGGCCCCGGAGAGAAGGAGCCCAACCCGCUCGUCUCCACCAUCGAAACGACGGAGUUUGUGUCGUCGGUGCUGGACGGCGUGCUGGGCCCGGCGCGCACCGAGGCCGGCCUGGUGAACGCGUUCCUGGUGUUGCGGCUGCUGCUGGACACGGGCCGGCCCGGCGCGCCCUACGCCCAAAACGAGGCUGACGAGGAGGUGCCGCCGGAGGAGCCGGCCAGCGUGCAGGCCGUGGCGGACGCGCUGCUGCCGCGGCUGGCCGACUGUCACCGGCUGCUGCUGGAGCCGCCGCCGCGGCCCGCCGUGCCCACCACGUGCGGCCGCCUGGAGCCGCCGCUGGGCGCCACACGGCUGCAGGUGGCGCGUCUGACCACGGCGCUGCUGGCCGCCAACCGGCACCCGGUCAACUGCCGGCUGGCGCAGCUCGGCACCAUCGACCUGCUCCUGGACCUGUUCUUCCAGUACACGCUAAACAACUUCCUUCACUCGCAAGUAGAGCAAAGUAUCGCGCUCAUCCUAGAGGCUGAGCCACAGGAAAGUGAAGAAGGCAAGAGUUGCCACCCACUUCUAGUACAUAUUUUCACAAAGACAAAGCUAGUGCAGAGGAUACUUCAGGGCAUGGAGGAGCCUCAGACAAACGGCGAAUCGUCCGAACAAAAACGGCGGUGUUUCCGCUCAUCGCGCGCGUACUGCGGCCACCUGGUGAAUAUGGCCAACAAGGUGUGCUCGGCGGCCGAGGAGGGGCCCAACGUGCAGCUGGUGCGCGAGCAGCUGGACGCCCUGCCCGACGACAUACGAGCCAGCUGGCAGGCCUUCAAGGAGGCCAAGCUGCACAGGAUCAAUGAACAGAACAAGCCGGUGUUGCCGGAGACCAAGCAGGAGACUGCCAGCGAGUCCGACUACCGACAGGUGACCGAGGCUCAGCAGGCCACCAUCCUCAGGACGUUCCACAACUUCCAGCUGCUGCACGCGAGUACGGCCGGCGCCGACGGGCAGGGCGCCGACGACCUGGGCGACGACGACGGCUACAACGACAUCGGAGACGGCCUCAGCGCGUCGCCGGACGAGGUGACUCCAGUCGGCCUGCUGUCUCUGGACGCCGGCGGCGACGGCCGGCCGUCGGCGGUCGACCUGUUCGCGGCCGCCAGCGAGGCGGACCCGUGGCCGGCGCGGCGCACGGCCAGCCUGGAGCCAUGCCACAGCAGCUCGGAUGAGGACGACGAGUCGGACGAGGGCGGCGCAGGCGACGACAGCGCGCCGGCGCAUAUCUCCAUGGAGGUAGACACGAGCGACCCGUGGGCCGCCGCUACUGCUACCGACUCACCGCAGGUGGCCAUGGAGACCAAUAUGUGGGAGGAGGCGCCCCCGGCAGCGGCGCCGGCCGCCGGAGACGCGGCGGAGACCGCACAGUGGCCUGCCUUCCAGUCGCAGUCCGACGCGGUCACGGCAGCGCCGCAGAGCACAGAAUCCUCGGCCGGUACCGGCUCGACCACCGAGCAGCCUUCAGCGUUCCACGCGAACUUCGAGGCGGCGUUCUCAAACACGUGCGCCGUCCAGGAGGAUGGCCAGGUGUCGUCGGACGCGCCGGCACCGCCCGGCCGGCCCGAGUCACUGCAGCUCAGCGCAGGCGCCGGCUCCAUGGAGGUGCAGCCCGAGCUGCUGGUGGCGGAGCCGGUGACGCCGCCGGCCGACCGGCCAGAGUCUCCGCACGAGCUGAACUCGACGGGAGGCGACUUCACUCCGCUCUUCCACGAGUCUUCCGUGACGGCGGAGUCCGCGGCGGCGACGUCCGAGGCGGGGGACGGUAGCGGGGAGUCGCCGCUCUCCGAACCGACGGAGCAGCUGGCCGACAACUACAGCUUCCUGACGUCGCAGGGUCUGAUGAACGGCUCUGCGUCCGAGGGCGAGGAGGGCGGAGAGCCGGAGCCGACUGCCGAGCUAGCCGCCGCCAGCCGGACCGCCGACCUGCCCAGCCCGUCGAAGGUGGCGGCCGCGGAGCCGGCGGCGCCGCAGUCGGAGCCGCACGUACCGGCCUGAGCGGCUUCCGGAGCAGCGCGGGCCACCCACAGAGAGCGUGAGAGCGGGCUCAUCAGUCGGCCACUAGCACAGCAAUACACACACUGACAGAUAUACGGGGCGCAGCUGCCGCCUCCGCCGCCUCCGCCGUCGAGCCGAGCCGAGACGAGACGAGACGAACCGAUUGCGAGAGUGACUGACCGGGUGAUUGGGCGUGUGAGUGUGAGUGUGAGAGGGCGAGAGCCAGCGAGCUGUGAGAUUGAGAAAGAGAGCUGUCCAACUACGCUGUGAUACGCCGCGCUCCCGUCGCAGAGGCCGCCGGGUAGCGCCAGUCCCGCGCACAGACACACAAACAGACAUACCUACACACAAACACACACACACACACACACAGGUACACCCACGGAGACAUGACAGGCGGCCGGCGCCGCGCCGCCUCGGCUACAAUCAUGUCGCAUAAUUGAGCCGGGCCGGCCGAGUGACGCGCGCCCCCCGGCAACAGUUUUAACCGGUUUUCGUUUGUGUGCGGACGGCGGUGACGGCGCCGCCGACACAGUCUGAACAUUCCAGGAGGGUGCGGGUAGCGCCGGCCGGUGCGCCGGCCGCCCGACCUGACCUGACCUGACCCCGCCCCGGCGGCUCGCGACUCGACCUGAAGUGACCUCACGUCCGGCCGCGGCCGCCGCCGCCGCGCCGCGCCGCGCCGCUGAUGAUGUGUCGCUCGCCACCCCAUGAGAACUCCACUUGCCACUCUCUGUAUGCAUUUUACUGGGUAUCGCGGGUCCAACGCUUGGCGCUGGGAAGCGACGCGGGCAGUGGUCCCGGCGAGCAGCGUGCCUUUUGCCUGCCCCCGACUCUGACAGCGCUUGCCUUCCCCUUCCUCCCCGUCCCGUCCUGACCCCUCCCUCCCCUGUCUGUCCGUCUCUCGUCUAUCCAACUCACCUGAGCCGCUGGCCAGGCCCGCCGCCGCCGCCGCCCGUGCGCUGAGCGGGGCGGCUCGGGCGGCACGGCGGGCCUGUCGGGCGGACAGCUCCCAUUGGAUGAAGCGGGUGGAAGCUGCUGAAAAUGUACCUUGUACAAAUGUUAAUAUAUUGUAGCCAGUG
This 3965-nucleotide unclassified non-coding RNA is filed under the name Amphibalanus amphitrite. RNAcentral describes it as "serine/threonine-protein phosphatase 6 regulatory subunit 3-like, transcript variant X2". Lineage: Eukaryota; Metazoa; Arthropoda; Thecostraca; Balanomorpha; Balanidae. The record is from RNAcentral.